CCCCUCCUCCAGAGGAACAGACGACGGGACUAAAGUUUAAGUUAGCGUCCCGGCGCCAUUUUCAGGGAUUUUGAGGGCAGCUCUCGUCCAGCGCGCAUCUUUGCAACAGGUCGCAGUAACGACCAGCAGCUAUCGUGAUCCGCUUUCGGCAAUAAUGUAGUUGCUUCUGAGCCAGGCCAUGUCGCCUAGAUUUUUUUUAGUUUUUCUUAGUAGCUGCCCAAAUAGUCAAGUUUAACUUUAGUUUUCUUUGGUUUUCGCCAUAACUAUUUCUUCUAUGGCUACCGCGAGCUCCCGUGCCGCGCAUCCCCGGAUCACCCCCAGGGACAGCCACUACCUACUUCACCCUGCCAGCUAAGGCAGGGUUCCAGAAUCCCAGAGGGUUCCAGAAUCCCAGAGUACUUCAAGGACCCCAGACCAGUUCAAGAUGGCGGCCCAGUUCCGGCGCCACAUUUUGCACCUCAACCUGUAACUCGUGAGCCUCUAUAACGGAGUCUCCCUCCAUCUUUCGGCACCCCUUAAAAAGAAGUGAAGAACAGUUUAUAACUCCGCCAGUUUUAGGACGUUUUCCAUAUUAUUAUAAAAUAUUGUAUUUUAAACACAUAUAUUUGUUUGAUGAGCCUGCUAGCUGAAUGUUCCUAAACAGUUGAACAUAGCAUAGUAUGAAAUGGUGUUUCCCCCCCCCCCCCGGCCCCUCUUUCUUCUUUUUUUAUUCGUUAGUUACUCAAUGUAAUGUAUCAAAAAUAAGAAUCUGUCAUUGUUAGCAGUUUUGUUUGUAAUGGCUGUAAUGCCGUAAGAUAUUUUCUAAUGUAAGAAACCUAUCAAUGACAAGAUACUAAACUACUAAUCAACAGUAAAAGUCUCUAAUGAAACCAAA
Bacillus rossius redtenbacheri is the source of this 874-nucleotide long non-coding RNA. RefSeq lists it as uncharacterized. The record is from RefSeq and is a predicted model, not a curated record. The transcript has 2 exons. Lineage: Eukaryota; Metazoa; Arthropoda; Insecta; Phasmatodea; Bacillidae.